RNAcentral lists this ribosomal RNA (206 nucleotides) under uncultured bacterium. RNAcentral's name for it is "partial 16S ribosomal RNA". It matches the Rfam family "Bacterial small subunit ribosomal RNA", at positions 568 to 774 of the family's 1533-position model. The record is from RNAcentral.
UUCGUAGGCGGUUUGUCGCGUCGUUUGUGAAAACCAGCAGCUCAACUGCUGGCUUGCAGGCGAUACGGGCAGACUUGAGUACUGCAGGGGAGACUGGAAUUCCUGGUGUAGCGGUGAAAUGCGCAGAUAUCAGGAGGAACACCGGUGGCGAAGGCGGGUCUCUGGGCAGUAACUGACGCUGAGGAACGAAAGCGUGGUAGCGAACA